RNAcentral lists this ribosomal RNA (895 nucleotides) under uncultured archaeon. RNAcentral's name for it is "bacterial SSU rRNA". It matches the Rfam family "Archaeal small subunit ribosomal RNA", at positions 27 to 899 of the family's 1478-position model. The record is from RNAcentral.
CUGCUAUCGGGAUAGGACUAAGACAUGCUAGUUGAGCGCUUCCAGCCAACACGGGAGCGCAGCGCACAGCUCAGUAACACGUGGCUAAUCUGCCCUUGGGACCGGAACACCCCCGGGAAACUGGGGCUAAUUCUCGAUAGGUGAAGAACUCUGGAAUGAGUCUCCGCUUAAAAGACGCUUACGUUAUGCUCGUAGGCGCCGCCCAAGGAUGAGGCCGCGACCGAUCAGGUUGUUGGUGAGGUAAUGGCUCACCAAGCCUUUUACCGGUGCGGGCCGUGAGAGCGGGAGCCCGGAGAUGGGCACUGAGACAAGGGCCCAGGCCCUACGGGGCGCAGCAGUCGCGAAAACUUUGCAAUACACGAAAGUGUGACAGGGCUAUCCCGAGUGCCAUCCGCUGAGGAAGGCUUUUACCCAGUCUAGAACGCUGGGGGAAUAAGGAGAGGGCAAGUCUGGUGUCAGCCGCCGCGGUAAUACCAGCUCUCCGAGUGGUGUGGAUGUUUAUUGGGCCUAAAGCAUCCGUAGCUGGCUGAGUUAGUCCCUUGUUAAAUCCACCGAAUUAAUCGUUGGAUUGCGGGGGAUACUGCUCGGCUAGGGGACGAGAGAGGCAGACGGUAUUUCCGGGGUAGGGGUGAAAUCCUAUAAUCCCGGGAAGACCACCAGUGGCGAAGGCUGUCUGCUAGAACGCGCCCGACGGUGAGGGACGAAAGCUGGGGCAGCGAACCGGAUUAGAUACCCGGGUAGUCCCAGCUGUAAACGAUGCUAGCUAGGUGUUGGGUCGGCCACGCGCCGCCCCAGUGCCGCAGGGAAGCCGUUAAGCUAGCCGCCUGGGGAGUACGGCCGCAAGGCUGAAACUUAAAGGAAUUGGCGGGGGAGCACCACCAGGCGUGAAGCUGCG